Molecule: long non-coding RNA, 1775 nt
Filed under: Sorghum bicolor (sorghum)
Lineage: Eukaryota; Viridiplantae; Streptophyta; Magnoliopsida; Poales; Poaceae
Description: long non-coding RNA (SBIC_LNC012623)
Source: RNAcentral
GCCGCUGCCGCCGCAACUUAUAGGGCACGCCGCGAUCCUGAACCUUCUCGGCCACGUCCCUCGGUGCAUCUGCGCUGUGCCGGUCCCAGCGUGACGAUGUCGAUCCUCGCCGACGAUGACCCCUCCGACGACGCCGCGCCGAGCCGCCCCACCACUUUCCUCAACGAGGCUGAGCACCCACCCUGCUGCUAGCGUGCUACACUGCUGUUGCUUGCGCGAUCCGAUCUGAUUUGUUCAGAUCCGUUUAUCCGUGUAGGGAUAACGACCACAGUGUACAUCUCAUUUCCAGGUAAACAAUUUCCUAUGCAAUGCUUUAUUUUUAUUUUUUUUCUUUCGGAUUAACAACAGGAAAACUAUCCCUAGGUGUCCAAUUAUAUGCGUAGUGGUUGCAAAUUAAAAUAACCACAAUGCUUAAAAAUAUCUAGCUAAUUACAACCUAUAUGUCUCCGGCACACUAGCUUCCUAAUAAAUACUGAUUAUGGCACAUGACUAUUUUACUUAUUGGGAAGAAAAAUUCUAACCUGAAGUGUACAGCUAGAUGUGAAUUUUGCGAAGAAAAUUGUGCUUACUAGAAUGUAGUCUUUUCAUGUUGCUUAUACUGGAAAUGGUCAUCGAUCCAUUGUUUUUUAGUUGAAACGUGGCUUAUUUUUUUCUUGAUUGGGCAAUAUAUUGUUCUCUGUUAGUUGACUGUACCUUUUGUGUUCAAUACUUGUUAUCAGACCAGCCUUUUAUGGGAUUCACAUUAUUUUAAUAAUGCAUUGUUGGUUUUUGAAGUUAAGAAGAAACAUUUUUUAUGGAUAUAGUUUCAAUUGCAUGGAUAUGAUCAUAUAUGAAAACAAGACGAGACUCAAGGGUAGUGGCGUGGUGUUGCUCUCUGCAUGUUGCCACGCUGCUGUUGCUCCUCUCUUCUUGCCGACACAACCAAGGUGAGUUGGAAUGUAUUUCCAAGUUUUCAUAAAACGAGUUUCAGGUAGCAAAAGAAAGAACUGAAAUACAGUUACCAAUUACCAUGUAUUAUUUCAAUAUCAAUGCAUUAGCUAUCCUAUUGAGAGAACUAGGCUUCACUUGUUUUCACGAAAUGAGUUUCAGGUAGCAAAAGAAGAAACUGCUCUAUUGCAGUCCCAUGUAUCUGAUUGCUGGUAGCCCCAAUUGAGAAGUAGGCUUCACUUGUUUUUUUCAUGAGAAAUAGAGGUCUUCAGUAGUAACACUAGUCCGGUGUAUCACAUUAUCACCGAUAUAUUAUACUAAAUUUGGCACUUAAGAAAUAAUUGCUUUAACAAAAUGUUUGCUCUAAUGAAAUGUGUAAGCAAACCAUUGAGAUGUAGUGUUGCUUGUAUUUAUGUGGGACUGUGUAACACCCUAAAAUUUGCUCCUUUCAAAAUAGACGAAAAUUGAUUUAGUUUUGUAUUUGAGUGCUCAUGAAAAUAUAGGAAAAAUAAAUUUGCUCCUUGUUCGGCAUAUCUUUAUCUUUUUCACAAUCGAAUUCCUUGUUUUCAGUCUAUGCUUUAAUUUUGAGUUUCUCAAAAUCUUUUCUUUGUAACCCUAAUCACUUCGUUCAGUUCCUCAUCCGCCAAUCAAUCUCUAAAACUUACCGAGAAUUAUUUCAGCAUUUUUCUGGAACUUGUUUCUACUUUUCUGUGAGCAUAAUCUAAUUUUUAGAUACUACAGAUUAUCUUAUCAUGAGUUCAAAGUACUUUAUUUGAGUUCCUCAUGUUUUAUAAGCUCUGUAAGAAUUUUUCCCGAAUUUUCAGAGCUUUCGGAGUAUUUCUCGUGGC